GGAUUUUAUGCGAAUCAAAAUCCAACACUUUGCAGUCGCUGUAGUCGUGAGGAUAUAAAAGGCUAGCGGUCGCUUUUGCAAUCAAAAAAUGGAUUUUGCACGCACUUUGGAGAUUUUGGGAGAGCUGAACGGAUACAUCAUCUAUAAGGUCAACAAUGUGGAAACAGACGGUUACAAAGAUCAUGAAGAGGCGUUCCGGAAAGGAGUGCGUCUGGGAUGUAGUGAAAUUUCGGACGUCCUGAAUAAGUUGAAAGCGGGAACUAUCCAAGCAGCGAUGGACAAGGCAAUCACAAGCAAAUCUGCGGAAAAGGUCACUCUUGCCGGACCUGCUUAUUCCAUACCGAGGAUUUUUGGAUGUAGCUCGCAUUGUACAGGACAGCUUCUGGGGUCCUGAGGGAGUGUCCAUGGAUACGUAGGCUAACAGCAUUUGACUUGUGUUUGACAGAAGGAUCGACUUGGACGCGAUAACCCGUGUUUUCGGGAACGAUGCUACUAAGAUGAAAAACUUUAACGCCGUUAACCUUCGCUUGAAUGGUAACACAUUCUGUCAACUGUUUGCGAACGGCAAGGCCAUCAUAAACGGCGGACCAACAAUGUCUGGGAAAUCAACGUUUACGUUGCAACUCUUGAAAAACGUUUCACAAAGUUUCACUCCCGUCCCUACUCGUAUUGUUUACGCGUACGAAAAGGUGAUACAACGCUGCUAAUUUUGGAUGAUUUAAUGGAGGAAAUAGCAUCUGCUACUAAGGCAUCCGCGUUAUUUACCCGUGAUGUUCAC
Molecule: long non-coding RNA, 778 nt
Organism: Paramacrobiotus metropolitanus
Lineage: Eukaryota; Metazoa; Tardigrada; Eutardigrada; Parachela; Macrobiotidae
Exons: 7
Source: RefSeq, a predicted model, not a curated record